UGCUGACGAGUGGCGGACGGGUGAGUAAUGCUUGGGAAUCUGGCUUAUGGAGGGGGAUAACUACGGGAAACUGUAGCUAAUACCGCGUAGUAUCGGAAGAUGAAAGUGUGGGACCGCAAGGCCACAUGCCAUAAGAUGAGCCCAAGUGGGAUUAGGUAGUUGGUGGGGUAAAGGCCUACCAAGCCGACGAUCUCUAGCUGGUCUGAGAGGAUGACCAGUCACACUGGAACUGAGACACGGUCCAGACUCCUACGGGAGGCAGCAGUGGGGAAUAUUGCGCAAUGGGGGGAACCCUGACGCAGCCAUGCCGCGUGAAUGAAGAAGGCCUUCGGGUUGUAAAGUUCUUUCGGUGAUGAGGAAGGUGUUUGUUUUAAUAGAGCAAGCAAUUGACGUUAGUCACAGAAGAAGCACCGGCUAACUCCGUGCCAGCAGCCGCGGUAAUACGGAGGGUGCGAGCGUUAAUCGGAAUAACUGGGCGUAAAGGGCACGCAGGCGGUGACUUAAGUGAGAUGUGAAAUCCCCGAGCUUAACUUGGGAACUGCAUUUCAUACUGGGUUGCUAGAGUAUUUU
Molecule: ribosomal RNA, 570 nt
Filed under: uncultured Actinobacillus sp.
Lineage: Bacteria; Pseudomonadati; Pseudomonadota; Gammaproteobacteria; Pasteurellales; Pasteurellaceae
Description: bacterial SSU rRNA
Rfam family: Bacterial small subunit ribosomal RNA
Source: RNAcentral